This is a long non-coding RNA of Monopterus albus (swamp eel), 846 nucleotides long. RefSeq lists it as uncharacterized. The transcript has 4 exons. The record is from RefSeq and is a predicted model, not a curated record. NCBI's taxonomy places the organism in Eukaryota, Metazoa, Chordata, Actinopteri, Synbranchiformes, Synbranchidae.
UUCCCAGCUAUGGUUUACAUCUAUGGUUGUCUCUGUAUGCAAGACUGCAAUUUCCCAGACAGAUCCACCCUGACCAGCUGACAAGCCAGUGCUAAUUAGAGAUCAGGCCAAGCAGCAAAGCCCAGCCCACAGCCUCCUGCUGGCAAAGCAACCCACCAGUUAACAACCACUGAGCCCUUUACGGCCAAUCACAGGACAUGGAGAGAUUAACCACAGGCUGGGAAAGUGUGCCCCAACUUCUGACUGGUAGAGUACCUUUAACAGUAUGUAGUCAUGUUCAAAGUUUUGGAAUUUAGCAAUUUUUGCUUCUACCACAAUACACUGACAGGGCUAAAAGAACUGCGAACCGAUCAGAGAGGAAGAAAGUGGAGGAGGAAAAGUGACCCAGAUCAAGACAUUCCAGGGAGAAACCUCGACUCUCACCAGGUCUUUUUAGAAAUCUUUCUGGUCUCCCAAGGAGGACUGCGGUUGGGUUGGUCUGUCAGCUGGCCUUCCAGCACUGUAACCCCCCCCCCUUCAGAAAAACCCAUCUGACCCUGGCCCAUGCACACAGGAUGUGUGCUGCAGAAAUACACACACAGACAUGACAACAGAGCUGUGAAGCAUAAACAGACAGACAGACAGUGGGAGGAAGAGGGGAGGACUUACAAUACAGCCGUUAAGGUUGGGAGGGGACACAGGUGACAUCAUGGACACCUGACAGGUACACAGACUGUACGGAGGAGUCCGUGAAGCGCAUUCAGCUGAAACAUAGCAGCGCCAUCAGAUACAUGUCACGAAAUAUGGUUUGCAUAAUGACACAGCAUGAAAAACAAGUAUUUGGCUUGGAUACAACAUGAUUAUCAG